Molecule: unclassified non-coding RNA, 366 nt
Filed under: Hevea brasiliensis (rubber tree)
Lineage: Eukaryota; Viridiplantae; Streptophyta; Magnoliopsida; Malpighiales; Euphorbiaceae
Source: RNAcentral
GAAAGUACUGUCAUAACAAUCAAGGCAGUGAGAGCACCAGACAAAACAAUUGACUUGGGGUGGCGCAUCGCCAUAAGAGCUGCUAUAAUAAAAGUCUCAUCCCCAAUCUCACUGACAAUAAUCAUGGACAAGCUCGCAAUAAAUGCAUCAAAAAUUCCAAGACCAGAGUCGACAUGAAGUCCAAGACCAACAGAAUUGACGUCAAGGUCAUUUGUAACUAUCAUGCCACGGCGGCCGAGAUCUUUAAGCGAUACAGUUGAUUCUUCCUUGCCAUUUCCCACCUCAGAAUCCUAUAACCCAAAAAUAACAAUAAUAACAAUAAUAAUAAUAACAAUAAAGCUUCGAAUAAAAUAAUUAGAAUUCUAC